UUUUGUUCCAGCUGGUCCAUCUCCCAUCCAAUGCAACUCCAGACCUGUAAUGACUCCAAAAGGACUAGGAAGACUCGAUAAAGACUUGAAAACCAAUUUAAAAGCAUAUAUACAAGAUGUAUAAAACACCAUAUAUCAACCACAUAUAGUUCCAUUAAUAGUAUAAAAUUUUCAAUGGUUUAGUUAUGUUUAAUAUAGGUUGUAAUGGAGAUUCCUCCAGCGUAUAACAAUAUUUUUCAUUUUUAUGUGAAUUGGAAACUAAAAACCUUAAUGUCAAUUAUUCAACUAUGAAACAUCAAUUUAAUCUUACAUUCUUAUAUAUGCAAUCAAUUAUUAAAAUUUGAUUUUACAUUCUUAUAUAUGAACUAAAUGAUUAAUCUUAUCAUUAAAAAUAUCAAAUGGAUCUAAACGGAUUGGAAUUAGUAAAAAUAAGACUGGUUUAAAUAGAACAUUUUUAUUUAUUUUACAGCUUCUAACAACGCAUAUGAUACUCUUUAUUGAAUUUUCACAAAUGUAAAAUAUCUUACGCUUUAAAUCGGAUAGUUUAGGUUGUUUGAAAAAAAUAUAGGAUAAAUGAUUAACUAUUAAUUAUUUCAAUAAAAAUAUUUGAGUCAUUAUUAUUUUUUGCAUAAUUUGGUUUAUAAAUAGUAUUUUUAGGAUAUUUAGUUAUUUAGAAAUUAAAUAUUUAUAGGUAUAUAAUUUGUAUUUUAAAAUUUUAAGUACUCAUUUGGUUCUCAUUUCGGUUUCUAUUUUUUGGUUCUAAAGAUAUAGGAUAUACUCGGUUAUUUAUGAGAUUCAGCUUAAUUUUGUUUUUUUCAGUUUGGUACGUUUCAGUGUAUCCGGAUAAAUAUACUCAAACCUAUAUAUUAUCUUAUAUAUAAAUUAUAUUAGAAGAAUUUAUUUAAUUUAAAAAUAAAUCAGCGUUUUUUAAGUGCAGAUCAAAAUCUAGUUGGAUAUUAUAUAGGAGUCAGGACUAUGGGUUUUGGGACAAAGAAAAUAAAUGAAGAAUUUCCUAUAGCCACCAUUAGUUACUACUUAAAAUCAAACUAAAUAAUUGGUUAAAUUAUUACAAAAUAAAGCAAAAGUAUAUAUAUAUAUAUAUAUAUAUACUAUCAUAUUGAUAUUUGGUAAAGAUAACGCGUAUAAAGCUAUGACACGAUAGUUGUUAUCCUAAGUUCCUAAUUUGCUUUUCAAAAUAUCAAAUUUAGCAAACUAAUUGACAUUCAUGAAAUUAAAAAUACUAUUAUUUUGGAGUCUUCUACCAAAUUCAUACUUACAAUUGAAAAGUCGGAACAAGAAUUCGACAAACCGACAAUUUAACCAGCAAUAGACACGUGUCUUUGCUAAUUCCUAAUACACUGAUAACGUUCAUGCACACGUAAGGCAAAUCUACCAAUCAUUAAAAGGAACAACGAGUCACCUGCAUAAGUAUAGUAAUUAAUAACAUAUGAUACUAAUCUUAGUACACACUCGUAUCAUAAUAAAAUACAUGCCCUCAAUGACCAGUGACCACGUAUAUUUGAAAAGUGAUUAAUAAUCUUCCAAGUCUGAAGUCGUCAAAUGCUUAUAGUAAAAUAUACAAUAGUUUCUGCUGAUUCAACUAUAUGCAUGCAGACAGUGGUGGCCUAGCAUCAUAUCAUAUCAUGCCUAAAGCAAAGAAAAAAUAAUUACUUUAUAGAUGCGUAAGCCAGGUUCAUACUCCGGUUCAUAAGUAUAUUGUAAACAUUUUUUGCCACUGUACUAGAGACAGUUUUGAAAAAUUUUGGCACUCUUAAAUAUAUGAUAAAAUUGACGCCUAAAAGGGAUAAAAUAAAUCAUCUAUAGAAAAUCACUAAUCAGAUAAAUUGGGGCUUUUUUUUUGUAAAAUGGCUUUCAUAGAUAAGUUAGAUUUUUUUAUAGCAUCUUCGCUUUAUUGAUUUCAAAUAGUAACAGAUUACAUAGAACAUAAAUUACAUAGAAGAUAAGUUUGGUUUAUAACCAAUAUUCUGUGCUAAUUUUUUUUUUUUUGAACUCAUUUUUGUCAUAAAAUUAACAGUUAUAGAAAAAUAUAAAACAAUUUAAGAACAACGGUUUAAGCAAAAAAAAAAAAACUUAAGACUAACGGUAGAUAAGUGGUUUUCAACAGAACAGAUAGUUCACAAUCUAUUUGACAGAUAGUUCACAUUUUUUUUUGUUGAUAAAAAAAAGGAUAAGCAAAGAUGCCCUUAUUAAAAAAAAAGACAAGCAAAAACUUAUAUUUACUUCAAUCAAAAAAGAAAAUAAAUUAUAUUUUGGGUAGCGUUUUCUCGGUUAUUAUUAUUCUAAACCUGGAAACUAAAAAAACUACCACUGAAAUACGGAUUAAGCAUCAUAGAGUUAAACUAGAAUUUGGAUUAAAUUUUCUUAUAAAGUAAUAAUACUAACAAACCUAAGACCCUGAUUAACUCAAGUCUCUUAACUGAAGUUCUUAGUUUCAGAUAAGGGAUGUUCUUAGCUUUUUUUAGUUAGCUAAAAACCGUUUUUUAAAUAAGAGAUAUAAGAGACAUAUUUUAACCGAAAAAUAUAAAAAAAAAUAUCAAAUCAUAAAUUAAGAAUUUCGGUUAAAAGACCACGGUUAAUCAUACCCUAAAGGAAAAAUAUAAAAUAAGAAAACAUGACACCAAAAGGGAAUCAAUCUGUGAAAAUAGAUUGAGUUUCCGAGAAAGUCACCGAUUUUCCGGAAAGUUAUCUCAUCACUAAAUGGUCCACCACCAUAAUUUCAGGGUCACCAAUCUUAUUAUGUUCAAUUUCAGGGUCACCAAUCUUAUUAUGUUCUUGGGUACACGCUCGUCAUCACAUAUGCAUUAUAAAAAUAAAUUACAAUCUAUAAUAAUUAUAUUAUGUCUAAUUCAUAAUUAUAAUAGCUAUAAAUUAAUAGUAAAAUGUUUUAAUAAUACAAGUAAUUUUAUAAAUUAAAUUAGUCACGGAUAAAAUCAAUUAUCUUUCUCUUAAAAUUGUUUAAUAAUAUUUAUCUUGUAACCAAAUAAAUAUUAUUCUAUUAAAUAGUACUCCUGAGAACAUACAUCCAUAUUACUUGUGGAUCGAUCUCAACCGCAUAUCCAUUUUGAUUUGGGGUGUCCUUUUACACACAGUCUAUGUAUAUUAAAUAAUUUUAUUAGAUGUUAAUCGUUAUCAAAAAUUCAAAAUCAGUUUUAUUAGGUAUACGGCACAUCUUGCACCACAUAUGACAUCUGAGAAUUAAACGGUUCGUUGCAAUGAUAUUAUUAAUUACUCCAUCUAGAUUUUAAAUAUUGAUAUUUUAGGAUUUACAUACAUGUUAAUAAAAUAAAUACAUAUUUUAAUUUAUUAGUUUUUGUUAAUUUUAUUGAUUCUGAAUAAAGUUAAUCACAUUUAUAGAUUUUAUUUAUGUUUUAGAUAUAAAAUAGAAUACAUUAAUUAAAUGUAAAAUAUCAAUCAUUUAUUUUUUUGAAACUGAUAUAUCAAUCAUUUAUAUAUAAAAGAAACUAAAACAUCAAUCUUUUGUAUAUAAAGAGGGUAUAAGUCUAUGACAAGAAAGAGAGAGUAUAAGUCUAUAAUUUACCUACUGUGUUCCAGCAAAAAAAAACUAUGCUUAGAUUUUGCAUUAAAACAGUUUUAAAAUACUCCAUAUUUAUUAUGCUUAGAUAAACUGCAUCCACGCUAGUGUUAUACAUUUACGCUUGAACACUGGUUAAGAUUCAUUAAUAUGAUACAUCAUGUGUUCUUUUUUUUUUUUGGCAGCUUACAUCAUGUGUUCACGAAUCGAGUAAUUACUUUCUGAAUAUUUCUCGCAGUCGUUUACGUAGAUAUAUUAAUAAAUACAUUUCGUCUUCAUAGAUAUGGUAAUAAAUACAUCUCGUUUUCAUGUUUUAAGUAAAUAAAAAGGAAUAUACGUGUAUAAUAAAUAUAGGUACCAUGAAGUAUGAAAAAUCAUAUAAUUAAUCCGCAAUGUAUUUAAUAACAUGGUCGCGAGAGGAAAAAACGAAGAGAAAAUCACGUGAAGCAUGCCCCACCUUACCCCUUAAAGACAGAGCAUCUCACCACUUCAAAUCUUCAAGAACAAUAUUUUAAAUAAUUCUUUUUUUGUCAACAAUAUUUUAAAUUAUUCACUUUCCCUACUUAUUUCUAGUUUUCCUUUCCCCCCUAAAACGUAUCCUUUAUAUACUAAAGCACAAGUCACCUAACUAAUCAGAAUAUGACAUGUGGCAAAAACAUUUAAAAAUAAAUAUUGAUACAAAAUUAUCUUUCUAAAAAUCACAUUCAAGUCCCGAGUUUUCAGUGACUCCAAAUACCUACAUUCCUAAAAAAAUUCCCAUUAUAAACACCACGUUCAAAAAUAUGAUCCGAUUUAAAACUGCCUCUAUACCUUCUUCAUCUCUCUUCUUCUGCAUUGCUUCUUAUUUUUCUUUUUUCUCUUUCAGAUAUUCGCCAGAUGCAAGAAAAUCCAUACAAGUCAUAUUCUUUUAUUAUUUGUUUCAGCUUGAAAAUGGCAUCUGAAGUCUACUCCUGUUUUAAAGCGUUGUCAGAAAUGUAGGGGGAAGAAAAAAAAAAUAAGCUUUAACAAGAAAGAAGUAUAUCAGGCCAAGAUACAAUCAAGCAAAAGAUAAACUCAAAUUACAGACAAAACGAAGGAGCAUUCUCUGAAAACAAUUGUAUCCUUACUUCUUUUCUAAAUAAUUCUCUCUUACUCUUUAAAAUUCUAUAUUAUGUUUUUGUAGCCUCGAAGGUGGUUAAGCAUUUUCAAAUUUAAAGAUGUGGAAAACAACAGCAGCAACAACCAAAAAAAAAUAACACUCAACCGAAGGAAAACAGGUAUCAACUAUCUACAACUAUGAUAAUGCAAAUAUAGUUUUUACAAAUUUGUUUGUUAUGGUUUGACAAUUUCACUAAUCUAUUUGUUAUGAACAGAGCAUUUUCGACUAUCUUAGGAAUUUUUAGAAAAAAAUUGUAUAUUUACGUACAUGAUUAAUAAUAUUUUUUAUUAUAUUAAUCUUAUCAGAACAGUCAUUAAAACAAUAAAAAUAAAAGUGAAUAGAUUAAGCAUGACUUUUUUAAUGCAAACAAAACUUGACCCGUGCUAAGCACGGGAUGGUAAUACUAGUCGAUGUAUAAUUCUUAUAUUUGGUAUUAAAAUUUUCUAUUCGAGUUUGAUAUUUUUUUUUAAUUUAUGGAUAAUAUUUGACUACAUAUGGCUCCUCUAGUUUGUCUAUGUUACCGUUUAAACUUUAUACUCUAUUCGUUUCGUAUUAAUUAUCGUUGUAAAAGAAAAUUACAUUACAAAAUAAGUAUUGUUUACUUUCAAUAUAAAAUUUAUUAAUUUUAUUCAGUAAUUUAUUAAUUUUAUUAGUUAAAAUAUGGUUAAAUGUAAAUAUAAUUAUGUUUUUAUAUAAAAAAUAUAUAAAAUUAAUUGUUUUUUUUAAUUUGUAUGUAUAAACUUAAAACGAUAAUUAAAAUAAAAUAGAGAGAAAGAAAGUAUAUAAUUUAUUAUUGUUAUUGUUGGUUGAAUAAAUAGUGUUAAGUUUAUGGAGAUGUAUCAUUUCAUUACACGUGAGCUAACCUCCUAACCCCACACCUUUUAUCUCCCUCACUUAUAAUCAUUCACACCCAUCAAAUGAUAAUUAAAAAUGUUGCUUUUGGAUAUUCUAAAAAUGAAAUCAUUUUCUGGAGCCAUAUAAAUGUGUAAUUUGAAAAUGUUUAGUUUAAAAUAAUAUUUCGAUUUAUGUUAUCAACAUAGUAAUGUUCUGAUUCAAUGGGGGGGGGGGGGGGGGGGGGGGGGGGGGGGAUUGUUGGCCUUUUUUACUACUACAUUUACAUUCUCUUUUCAUCUUAAUCACCACCUUUAACCUUCUCUAAAUUUUGACAUUCUCAAUCUUUUAUUCUUUUUACUUAUAAGUGUUUUAUUUCUUGGUGGGAAAUUUAUUUCAAUCAAUUAUAUAUCCAUUUUUGGGUUCUACGGUUGAAAACAAAACCAAGUUGGCACCAGUGUCUCAGUUAGAUGAAUGACCAGUAAAGAACAAUGGACCAUCGGAAACUUUGUAAUUAUUAAUCUCAGUGGAAACUUUUACAACUAUAUACACGAUCAUCGUGUUAAUAGAAUAAAUCUAAAAACUCAUUUCCAACCCACUUUAUUUUUCAGUUUAAAAUAUAAUUUAAAAUAAAAAUAUUAUAAUAAUAUUCUAUUUUUACUUUAUAACAAAGUAAAAAAUGGGAUUGUUCUCUCUAUAUAUUUUUGUUUAUCAAUCUAUUUUUACACUUUAAAAUAAAAUAUUAUUAAUGUAUAACUCAAUUUUAUUAUAGGAUUAUUGUAUUUUAGAGUGAAAAUAAAGCCAACAUAAUUAGAAAUAGUCUUUAAAAACUCUUUUAAAAAGAGCAAAGCGAUCUGUUUAAUAGUAAAGUCGUUGUAAGUGUGAACCUAAAUUCUAAUCCGGAACUAUCCAAGCUUAUGAUAGAAAAUAUAAUAAAUCAACAUUAUACUCGCAUGAGCAAACAAUCAAUUGUUAAGGAAGACGUAAUAAAUCAUUGCAAAGUUGUAAAAGAUUAAUAAAUAUAAUAUUCAUGUUUACUACAAGCAAAAUUACAUCGUAACUAAUAAUACAUUUAAAGAAAAGAACCAAAGAAGAUGGAUUAGUAAGUACUACUAAUAUUCUUCCUUUUCUCUACAAAUUGCAAACUAUAAUUACAAACUAUUUUUUUCUUCAUCAACCAACAAUCCCACCGAAAAAUAAAGUAGGAUCGUUGAAGAGUCUUAUCUAUAAAGACUACCCAUUUUCCCCAAUUUUUAACAUAUGACUUUUCCCCUGGGAAUUACCUACUAACUAAUUUCUAAAUGGAUAUAUAUAAAGAAAAAAA
Brassica rapa (field mustard) is the source of this 6846-nucleotide long non-coding RNA. RefSeq lists it as uncharacterized. NCBI's taxonomy places the organism in Eukaryota, Viridiplantae, Streptophyta, Magnoliopsida, Brassicales, Brassicaceae. The record is from RefSeq and is a predicted model, not a curated record.